This 253-nucleotide ribosomal RNA is filed under the name uncultured bacterium. RNAcentral's name for it is "partial 16S ribosomal RNA". It matches the Rfam family "Bacterial small subunit ribosomal RNA", at positions 524 to 776 of the family's 1533-position model. The record is from RNAcentral.
UACAGAGGAUGCAAGCGUUAUCCGGAAUGAUUGGGCGUAAAGCGUCUGUAGGUGGCUUUUUAAGUCCGCCGUCAAAUCCCAGGGCUCAACCCUGGACAGGCGGUGGAAACUACCAAGCUGGAGUACGGUAGGUGCAGAGGGAAUUUCCGGUGGAGUGGUGAAAUGCAUUGAGAUCGGAAAGAACACCAACGGCGAAAGCACUCUGCUGGGCCGACACUAACACUGAGCGACGAAAGCUAGGGGAGCAAAUGGG